GACGAACGCUGGCGGCGUGCUUAACACAUGCAAGUCGAACGGAAAGGCCCCUUUGGGGGUACUCGAGUGGCGAACGGGUGAGUAACACGUGAGUAACCUGCCCUUGACUUCGGGAUAACUUCAGGCAACUGGGGCUAAUACCGGAUAGGAAUCCUUGCUGCAUGGUGGGGGUUGGAAAGCUUCGGCGGUUUUGGAUGGACUCGCGGCUUAUCAGCUUGUUGGUGGGGUAGUGGCUUACCAAGGCUUUGACGGGUAGCCGGCCUGAGAGGGCGACCGGCCACAUUGGGACUGAGAGACGGCCCAGACUCCAACGGGAGGCAGCAGGGGGGAAUAUUGCACAAUGGGCGGAGGCCUGAUGCAGCAACGCCGCGUGCGGGAUGACGGCCUUCGGGUUGAAGACCGCUUUCAGCAGGGGCGAAGCUUGUGGUGACGGUACCUGCAGAAGAAGCACCGGCUAACUACGUG
RNAcentral lists this ribosomal RNA (465 nucleotides) under uncultured bacterium. RNAcentral's name for it is "partial 16S ribosomal RNA". It matches the Rfam family "Bacterial small subunit ribosomal RNA", at positions 28 to 507 of the family's 1533-position model. The record is from RNAcentral.